RNAcentral lists this ribosomal RNA (439 nucleotides) under uncultured bacterium. RNAcentral describes it as "partial 16S ribosomal RNA". It matches the Rfam family "Bacterial small subunit ribosomal RNA", at positions 338 to 795 of the family's 1533-position model. The record is from RNAcentral.
CCUACGGGGGGCAGCAGUCGAGAAUCAUUCACAAUGGGGGAAACCCUGAUGGUGCGACGCCGCGUGAGUGAAGAAGUAAUUCGUUAUGUAAAGCUCUAUCAGCAGGGAAGAAAAUGACGGUACCUGAGUAAGAAGCCUCGGCUAACUACGUGACAGCAGCCGCGGUAAUAAGUAGGGGGCAAGCGUUAUCCGGCUUUACUGGGUGUAAAGGGAGCGUAGACGGCAGUGCAAGUCUGGAGUGAAAGGCGGGGGCUCAACCCCGGACUGCUCUGGAAACUGUACGGCUGGAGUGCAGGAGAGGUAAGUGGAAUUCCUAGUGUAGCGGUGAAAUGCGUAGAUAUUAGGAGGAACACCAGUGGCGAAGGCGGCUUACUGGACUGUAACUGACGUUGAGGCUCGAAAGCGUGGGGAGCAAACAGGAUUAGAUACCCGUGUAGUC